This 253-nucleotide ribosomal RNA is filed under the name uncultured bacterium. RNAcentral's name for it is "partial 16S ribosomal RNA". It matches the Rfam family "Bacterial small subunit ribosomal RNA", at positions 524 to 776 of the family's 1533-position model. The record is from RNAcentral.
UACAGAGGGUGCAAGCGUUAAUCGGAAUUACUGGGCGUAAAGCGUGCGUAGUCGGUUAUCUAAGUCGGGUGUGAAAUCCCCGGGCUCAACCUGGGAAUUGCAUUCGAUACUGGAUAGCUAGAGUUCGGCAGAGGGAAGCGGAAUUUCGGGUGUAGCGGUGAAAUGCGUAGAUAUCGAGAGGAACACCAGUGGCGAAGGCGAGUCUCUGGACGACUCCUGACACUGAGGCACGAAAGCCAGGGGAGCAAACAGG